This 460-nucleotide ribosomal RNA is filed under the name uncultured bacterium. RNAcentral describes it as "partial 16S ribosomal RNA". It matches the Rfam family "Bacterial small subunit ribosomal RNA", at positions 338 to 795 of the family's 1533-position model. The record is from RNAcentral.
CCUACGGGCGGCUGCAGUGAGGAAUAUUGGUCAAUGGCCGUAAGGCUGAACCAGCCAAGUCGCGUGAAGGAAGAAGGAUCUAUGGUUUGUAAACUUCUUUUAUAUGGGAAUAAAGAUAUCCACGUGUGGAUAUUUGCAUGUACCCUAUGAAUAAGCAUCGGCUAACUCCGUGCCAGCAGCCGCGGUAAUACGGAGGAUGCGAGCGUUAUCCGGAUUUAUUGGGUUUAAAGGGUGCGUAGGUUGUUUUUUAAGUCAGCGGUGAAAGUUCGUGGCUCAACCAUAAAAUUGCCGUUGAUACUGGAAGACUAGAGAGUGGUUGAGGUAGGCGGAAUGUGUGGUGUAGCGGUGAAAUGCAUAGAGAUCACGCAGAACACCGAUUGCGAAGGCAGCUUACUAAGCCAUAACUGACACUGAAGCACGAAAGCGUGGGGAGCAAACAGGAUUAGAUACCCGUGUAGUC